AUGGCCUUGUGCUCACCAUCGCAGAGUCGCGCGUGCCCUGCACUGGCCGUCACCAUGGCCGUUGAGCACGACCUGCGCCGCGUGCCGUCGGGACCGUCGGCACCACCACUUCUGGCCACACUUUCUGGAGGCCUCCCACAGCCUCCACCAUCCCACCUUGCAACCGCUGUGCCUCCUGCCUCAGAUCAACGCCCAGGCGGAGGAGAAGACACACACAAGAGAAAGAAGGGGAGAGGGCCUUGCCGGAGAAUUCAACCUCACCUGGACUUCUGCCCGUCGGAAUGCCUCGUCGGUGAGCCGUAG
Molecule: ribosomal RNA, 303 nt
Filed under: Triticum aestivum (bread wheat)
Lineage: Eukaryota; Viridiplantae; Streptophyta; Magnoliopsida; Poales; Poaceae
Description: partial small subunit ribosomal RNA
Source: RNAcentral